Molecule: long non-coding RNA, 525 nt
Organism: Gavialis gangeticus (Gharial)
Lineage: Eukaryota; Metazoa; Chordata; Crocodylia; Gavialidae
Exons: 4
Source: RefSeq, a predicted model, not a curated record
GCCUGCUUCCUAUGGUGGGGGAGUCAUCUCCAGCUCUUCACUGAUGAAGCGGACUGAAGCUAUGUGAAGGGAAAGCCUCAGAUGACUGAAAGCUGGAUCUAAAUACCUUUUUAUCAGGGAAAGUCUGGUCCUUGGUUCUAACUGAACAGCCCAAAGUCCAUCCCUAUAGCUUCCAGGUGACAUUUUACUGGGCAACAGAUUCAUCCCUACAGAAGGGCCUGAGAUUCAUCUUCUGCCUGAAGCACAAAGGACAAGUUGGCUUCUCCUUUCUGAAGACAGGUAACAUCGUGGUAAAGCACAAGCUUCCUGUUUAGCAACCUAGGAAAGGUUCCAAAUGAAUCUGGAGAAGGCGGACCAGAGAGGGCCAACUUCAUGCACGCAACUGACAAAAAGAGAGUGAAAUAGAUGCAGGAACCCCAUUGCUGACCCUCCUUGAGUCAUCAAAGACUUGCUGGUUUAUUUUGUGAUAUAAACAAUUCAUGAAGCAAAUUAAAAGGUAAUAAUAUUUUCUUUCAUCUGGAUGAU